GACGAACGCUGGCGGCGUGCCUAAUACAUGCAAGUUGAGCGCUGAAGGUUGGUACUUGUACCGACUGGAUGAGCAGCGAACGGGUGAGUAACGCGUGGGGAAUCUGCCUUUGAGCGGGGGACAACAUUUGGAAACGAAUGCUAAUACCGCAUAAAAACUUUAAACACAAGUUUUAAGUUUGAAAGAUGCAAUUGCAUCACUCAAAGAUGAUCCCGCGUUGUAUUAGCUAGUUGGUGAGGUAAAGGCUCACCAAGGCGAUGAUACAUAGCCGACCUGAGAGGGUGAUAGGCCACAUUGGGACUGAGACACGGCCCAAAAUCCUACGGGAGGCAGCAGUAGGGAAACUUCGGCAAUGGACGAAAGUCUGACCGAGCAACGCCGCGUGAGUGAAGAAGGUUUUCGGAUCGGAAAAAUCUGUUGGUAGAGAAGAACGUUGGUGAGAGUGGAAAGCUCAUCAAGUGACGGUAACUACCCAGAAAGGGACGGCUAACUACGUG
Molecule: ribosomal RNA, 497 nt
Filed under: uncultured bacterium
Lineage: Bacteria
Description: partial 16S ribosomal RNA
Rfam family: Bacterial small subunit ribosomal RNA
Source: RNAcentral